AUUGAACGCUGGCGGCAGGCCUAACACAUGCAAGUCGAGCGGAUGAGAGGGGCUUGCUCCUCGAUUCAGCGGCGGACGGGUGAGUAAUGCCUAGGAAUCUGCCUAGUAGUGGGGGACAACGUUUCGAAAGGAACGCUAAUACCGCAUACGUCCUACGGGAGAAAGUGGGGGAUCUUCGGACCUCACGCUAUUAGAUGAGCCUAGGUCGGAUUAGCUAGUUGGUAGGGUAACGGCCUACCAAGGCGACGAUCCGUAACUGGUCUGCGAGGAUGAUCAGUCACACUGGAACUGAGACACGGUCCAGACUCCUACGGGAGGCAGCAGUGGGGAAUAUUGGACAAUGGGCGAAAGCCUGAUCCAGCCAUGCCGCGUGUGUGAAGAAGGCCCUCGGGUCGUAAAGCACUUUAAGUUGGGAGGAAGGGCUUACAGCGAAUACCUGUGAGUUUUGACGUUACCGACAGAAUAAGCACCGGCUAACUUCGUGCCAGCCGCCGCAGUAA
RNAcentral lists this ribosomal RNA (500 nucleotides) under uncultured bacterium. RNAcentral's name for it is "partial 16S ribosomal RNA". It matches the Rfam family "Bacterial small subunit ribosomal RNA", at positions 30 to 523 of the family's 1533-position model. The record is from RNAcentral.